Molecule: ribosomal RNA, 519 nt
Filed under: Fusarium lateritium
Lineage: Eukaryota; Fungi; Ascomycota; Sordariomycetes; Hypocreales; Nectriaceae
Description: eukaryotic LSU rRNA
Rfam family: 5.8S ribosomal RNA (bases 140-293)
Source: RNAcentral
CUCCCAAACCCCUGUGAACAUACCUUAAUGUUGCCUCGGCGGAUCAGCCCGCUCCCCGUAAAACGGGACGGCCCGCCAGAGGACCCAAACUCUAAUGUUUCUUAUUGUAACUUCUGAGUAAAACAAACAAAUAAAUCAAAACUUUCAACAACGGAUCUCUUGGUUCUGGCAUCGAUGAAGAACGCAGCAAAAUGCGAUAAGUAAUGUGAAUUGCAGAAUUCAGUGAAUCAUCGAAUCUUUGAACGCACAUUGCGCCCGCUGGUAUUCCGGCGGGCAUGCCUGUUCGAGCGUCAUUUCAACCCUCAAGCCCCCGGGUUUGGUGUUGGGGAUCGGCUCUGCCUCACGGCGGUGCCGCCCCCGAAAUACAUUGGCGGUCUCGCUGCAGCCUCCAUUGCGUAGUAGCUAACACCUCGCAACUGGAACGCGGCGCGGCCAUGCCGUAAAACCCCAACUUCUGAAUGUUGACCUCGGAUCAGGUAGGAAUACCCGCUGAACUUAAGCAUAUCAAUAAGCGGAGGA